UACGUAGGGUGCGAGCGUUGUCCGGAAUUAUUGGGCGUAAAGGGCUCGUAGGCGGCCUGUUGCGUCUGCCGUGAAAGCCCGGGGCUUAACUCCGGGUCUGCGGUGGAUACGGGCAGGCUAGAGUUCGGUAGGGGAGACUGGAAUUCCUGGUGUAGCGGUGAAAUGCGCAGAUAUCAGGAGGAACACCGGUGGCGAAGGCGGGUCUCUGGGCCGACACUGACGCUGAGGAGCGAAAGCGUGGGGAGCGAACAGGAUUAGAUACCCUGGUAGUCCCUGA
RNAcentral lists this ribosomal RNA (277 nucleotides) under uncultured prokaryote. RNAcentral's name for it is "partial 16S ribosomal RNA". It matches the Rfam family "Bacterial small subunit ribosomal RNA", at positions 524 to 800 of the family's 1533-position model. The record is from RNAcentral.